This 298-nucleotide ribosomal RNA is filed under the name uncultured Pseudomonadota bacterium. Its description in RNAcentral is "uncultured proteobacterium partial 16S ribosomal RNA". It matches the Rfam family "Bacterial small subunit ribosomal RNA", at positions 1084 to 1382 of the family's 1533-position model. Lineage: Bacteria; Pseudomonadati; Pseudomonadota. The record is from RNAcentral.
GUCCGUACGAGCGCAACCCUUGCCCUUACGUUGCCAGCGAGUCAAGUCGGGAACUCUAAGGGACUGCCGGUGACAAACCGGAGGAAGGCGGGGAGUGACGUCAAGUCAUCAUGGCCCUUAUGGGCUGGGCUACACACGUGCUACAAUGGCCGGUACAGAGGGUUGCCAAGCCGCGAGGUGGAGCUAAUCCCACAAAGCCGGUCGUAGUCCGGAUUGCAGUCUGCAACUCGACUGCAUGAAGUCGGAAUCGCUAGUAAUCGCGGAUCAGCAUGCCGCGGUGAAUACGUUCCCGGGCCUU